Molecule: transfer RNA, 69 nt
Filed under: Ictidomys tridecemlineatus (thirteen-lined ground squirrel)
Lineage: Eukaryota; Metazoa; Chordata; Mammalia; Rodentia; Sciuridae
Also listed under: 1 other name
Description: Spermophilus tridecemlineatus (thirteen-lined ground squirrel) tRNA
Rfam family: tRNA
About the family: Transfer RNA (tRNA) molecules are approximately 80 nucleotides in length. Their secondary structure includes four short double-helical elements and three loops (D, anti-codon, and T loops).
Source: Rfam by way of RNAcentral
GGAGCUGUGGCUUAGUGGUAGAGUGCUUGCCUAGCAUACAUGAGGCGCUGGGUUCGAUCCUCAGCACCA